This 453-nucleotide long non-coding RNA is filed under the name Pongo abelii (Sumatran orangutan). Its description in RNAcentral is "lincRNA". Lineage: Eukaryota; Metazoa; Chordata; Mammalia; Primates; Hominidae. The record is from RNAcentral.
UGAGUCUCACUUGAAGCCAGCAAGUCUCAGAGCCUUACCCAAGGCCUUCAAUGUAGUACCUGGGUAUCACUUCUGGUUUUCCAGGACCCAAAGCCUCUUCAGGUAGCCUGUAAUGAAUGCCAUCGGGAUGAAUGCUGAAGGACUUUUCUUCCAGGUGGUGGGUUGUCUUCUGGCCCAAGAUGUGUCUAAAAAUGUCAUCUGGCAGUGCCCAGAGAUCUCUCUGUACCAUGCUGCUGCUACAGGGAUUGGGGGAGGAGUGGCACCUGCGAUUCAGGACUGUUUUUUUAAAUCACUCCAGUGCCUCUUUCAGCAAUAUGAAGGUAAAACCAGAAUGGACAAAUGGCCGAAUAGCUGGAAAAAAAGAAAGAAGGAAGAGGUGGAGGAAGAGGAGAAGGAGAAGGAGGAGCAGAGAAGAAGAAAGAAGAAUAAAAAAAGAAAAGGGUUUAAUGUAAA